Molecule: RNA transcript, 1577 nt
Organism: Branchiostoma belcheri (Belcher's lancelet)
Lineage: Eukaryota; Metazoa; Chordata; Leptocardii; Amphioxiformes; Branchiostomatidae
Exons: 2
Source: RefSeq, a predicted model, not a curated record
AAUCACACACACGAUGAAAGGACUCCGGAAGAAGUUACAACACCGCCCGCGUCAGCAUACCUUGGUGGACGUGGCCUUACUGACGCGUCUGCAUGGCUGUUUCAAUCAUGACACCCAAAAAGAUGCCGCAGUCUGGGCUGCUCUGCUCUUCUGCUUCUUCACCUUCUUCCGCCGCUCCAACGUUGUCCUCGACUCCAAGACGUCGUUCGAUCCGAAACGUCAUCUCCAACGCAAGGACGUACUGACGUCCCCCUCUGGUCUACUAGUCUAUACCAAGUGGUCCAAGACUCUGCAGCACCGUGAACGUGUUCUACAAAUUCCCUUGGUCCCAAUACCAGACUCCGUCCUAUGCCCAGUCUCUGCAUAUCAACACAUGUGCACUUUAAUCCCCGCGUCUCCUGAUUCACCAGCCUUCGUCCUGCCAAGUUCGACAAACACUGCUCGCCCGCUGACCACCUCCAUCCUGGAGAAGGCUCUAGCCAAGGCUAUCAAGGCCCUGGCCCUCCCCAAGGGUGCGGUCACCCUCCACGAUCUGCGCAGGGGUGGGUACACCCUCGCCUUCCAGGCGGGCGUCCCGAGAGAGCUACGUCAGCUCCACGGGGACUGGAAAUCAGAUGCAGACCAUCUCUACCUGACGGCCAACAUCCGCGAUCGCCUGAAGCUACCAUCUGCUCUGAGGGACUACAUCCUCCGACAUACGAGCACAUGAACUCUCUAUGUAUGAGGACUCUUGGCACAUGUUCACUGUUAUUAUGUAACUGAUGUUAACAGGCCAAGCUCCUUAACGCUACGGAGCCGACCUUUCCUUAUGUAACUAUGUUCGAUUUCGGUAUUUAGGAAAUGUAGAUCUUGAGACAUAGAGACGUUUGUUCUUUCCUAGUUUCCCUGUUUAACUUAGUUACAACCCUUGUUCUUCUAAUGUUGCACGCGUAGACCCAGAUGUAUUACAGCCUGGUAUGUUUCCUCGUUUAUCUAGUUGUUGCCUCAAACCGUUGAGCUCCACUUGCUUUAUGUCAGAUUUUCCAGCAAUAUCCUGUAUGUAAGUCCGAGCACUUCAUCCACUAGUUAGUUAGCAAGUUGGCUAGUUUGUUAGUUAGUUUAUAGCACUAGUUGUUUAGUUCCCAUGUGUUGGGUGGGCGGUUCCUCUCCUCUCCUCAUACCUUCCUGCUUUGGCCGUCUCGCUCUCUCGACCCUGGCGCUCAGAGGUCUUUUUCUCCUUUACAUCGAUUAAAAGCUCUGAAUUCGGCCAAAUGCAGGUCUCAGUCUCUCUCCUUUAAGUGUAAUCAUGUUGGGAUUGCGCAAUAGGCGUAAUACCCGGGGAUUGCACUGGAGAUUGAGGAGUUGGGUCGCCCCCCUCUAAGGGGAAGCCAGGGGCGCAUGCGCAUUAGCCUGUUCAAUUUCCAACCGAAAGGGAGCAGCCAUUUUCGGUCCUUUAGCUACCCUCCCUCCCUCCCACAAUGCAACAGGCUCAGCACUUGCGCCAAUGGCUUUCUCUCCACACAUGGCGCUCAGAGGUCUUUUUCUCCUUUACAUCGAUUAAAAGCUCUGAAUUCGGCCAAAUGCAGGUCUCAGUCUCU